RNAcentral lists this long non-coding RNA (7387 nucleotides) under Lathyrus oleraceus (garden pea). RNAcentral describes it as "Pisum sativum (pea) long non-coding RNA (PSAT_LNC010390)". The record is from RNAcentral. Lineage: Eukaryota; Viridiplantae; Streptophyta; Magnoliopsida; Fabales; Fabaceae.
CUUUGAGUUUCAUCCUCAAUUUUGUCUUGUAAAAUCGCAGGAUUCUUCUGAAGUUCUUCUUAGUGGCACUGUUGGAGCUGAUGGACUCUACAGAUUUGUCAAUCCUUCCUCACCUUCCUCCUCUACUCCAUCUCAGUCCAAGUCUCAGUUCAAGUCUUUUAGCUCUAGCCCUAGCUCUUGUAAUAGACUUAGCUUAAACUCUAAUUUCUCUUAUAAUACAGCUGCCACUUGCAACUGGUUUCCCUCUUGUAAUUCUGCCUCUUACAUAAAUAAAAGUAUUCUUAAUUCUCUCAGUACAUUGAAUCCUAUUGUUAAUGUCUCUCACUCUAAUCCUUCUAACAUAAAUCAUCCAAUGACCUGUCAUUCCCCUAUUUCCACUAGCAAGUAUGCUCUAUGGCAUACAAGACUUGGGCACCCUCAUCAUUAUGUUCUUAUAGAAAUUCUUAAAGCCUGCAAUAUUCUUAUCCCUCACAAACCUUCCCUUGAUUUAUGUUCUGCCUGUUGUCUUGGCAAAUCACACAGACUCCCUUCAUCUCUGUCCGCUACAGUUUAUCAUAACCCAUUUGAACUUGUUGUGUAUGAUCUAUGGGGUCCUUCACCCAUUCUUUCCUCAGGUAGCUACUCCUACUUUCUCACAUGUGUUGAUGCACACUCUAGAUUUGUAUGGGUGUUUCCUUUUAGGCUGAAAUCUGAUACUCUCACCCAAUUCCUUCACUUCAAAUCUAUGGUAGAACUCCAGUUUAAUUGCAAGAUCAAAACUGUUCAAAGUGAUGGUGGUGGUGAAUUCAAACCCCUCACUAAGCACCUCACUGAAUUGGGCAUCAUUCACNUUGGUUGAUUCUGUAGUUUUAGGCACCCAAAUAUUGUGUUUUCAUUAUAUCCCCUACAUUUGUACUUCAUCUCUAUAUGCUUUCCUAAAGUUUUGGUGACCUAUUACAGGAACACGUGGUCGCUGCAAGAUGAAGUUGAUUGAAUCCAUUAAAAUCCUUUACAUGCUAAAUUUGCACAUUAUACAUUAACAUUUGUAAUUGACAUGGAAAAUUCUUUACAUGCUAAAUUUGCACAUAUACAUCAACAUUUGUUAAUUGACAUGGAAAAAGGUUCUGUUAACCUCUCUAUAAACUCCAACACUUGAAAAUGAGAAGAGAGAAACAAGGUUAAAAAAUGAGAUGUUGGAAGAAGGGGGAAAUGAAGUACCCACAUUGGCAUUUAGUGUAAAUACAUGUUAGUAUUUAUAUAGUUUAUUCAUACUUCAUUAAAUGUACUUCAUUUGGAUGGUAAUUGGGCCUUUAGUCCAAAUACUUUCUUUUUAAAAUUUGCCGACUAAUUAAUUUCUUAAAUAAUUAUUUAAAAAGAUAAUAAACUAUUAAUAAAUAAUUAAUAUUAAUGAAUAAAAAGAAUAUUAAUAUAAAUAUCCCAUUUCAGCAAGUGGCCACGUCCUUAAAAAUAUUGUAUUUUUAUCUCAACAUCAUUGCCACGUAUGUAAAGUGGAAAGGUCCCAUUAAAAUCCACAAAAGGCCAUCAAAUUAAGAGAUCAAAUCGCAGGUUUUGUUGAUAGGAGGAUCAAUUGUUUAAAACGCUUCAAACUAGGGGAUCAAAAGUGCGCUUAAGCCCAUAAAAAAAAUCCACGACAAUCUCUCUUGAUCCUACCGAUUACUGAGCUAAGGGUGUACUGUGGUCGGUUUGCGUUGGGAUUGCGUCAAACCCAAUACCCAAUCCAUAAGGACCUCCGACUUGAGUAGGUAAAAUAACUUGUACACCAAUGGACAACACCACUAAGUUUUCGCGUUUGAAGUUGGAUUGAACUUAAUGGGGUUUGCCCAAAUAAUUUUCUUUUAUUAUAAAAGUUAAAUGACUAAAUUAAUGAUCAUCAUAUUUUUUCAUAAAGAUGAUUUAAUAUUUUUAUUUUUUUAUUUUUAAAUAGAAUAACUUAUUUUUAUUAUUUUUAGCAUCGUUAAAAUAAUAAAUAUGAUUUAUCAACUUAAAAAAUUAUCAUAAAAUACUAGUAACAAAUUAAAGUUGUUUGAUAAUAAUUGUAUUAGCAUCAAAAUAACUAAAAAGUGAAACAUUAAAUAGUUAAAGUUAUUAGUUUAUUAAUAAUAAAUGCUAGAGACUAAAAUUGAAACAACUAAGUUAAUAUUCAUCAAAAUCAUUAAAAUUGUAAUAAUAAAUGUUUUGAUUGUGGGUAGUGGGUUUUUUUGUUAAUGUUUGGUUUCAUCCAAAAUCCAAUUUUUUUAAUGUAUUUUUUAAUUUUUAAAUCAUAUCCGCCAAAUUAUCCGACCCAACCCAUUUUUAGGAUUUUUAUGGAUGAGUUUUGACCGGAUUUUGUGGUUGACCCCAUCCAUGUACACCCCUAACUGAGCGAUGAACUGUACGAAGAUUGAGAAGAACUCCUACCAUGUCGGUAGGCUUCCACACAACACUAUCAAAGUCAACCGGGAAAGAAGAACCUCAUUCUUUCAUUGGAAUUUGUCACCACCAGUCACACUACCAAGAUCUUGCAAUUCUCUUAAAAAUCUUCACACUCUUCAAAGAAACAUUAUUCCAAGACAAGUUUUCCUCAAACAUCACAAAAAUUUAAUCAAGAUUUGAAUCCAUUAAAUAAUGAACAAAACGUGAGGUUUGAAGAUGAAAGAAUUUUGUUUGCAAGAGAUUUGAGUUGUCAAAAAUGGAAGUUGUUUUCACGUAGUUACGUACGUUAUUGCUUGUUGUGUAAAAAUGUGAGGUGAAAAGACUUAUAAGUGUUGGAUAUAAGACACCAAAAAUAGGUGGAAGUGGUUGUUUGAUUCGAGUAAAGAACAUUUGUUGAUUUGAGUCAAGGUGAACAAGUAGAUUGGAACAAGAUCAACAUAAAGUUAAGUUAAUCAUUUUCCUAUGAUUCGAGUCAAGUUAUACUGCGAUUCAAGUCAUAAAAGGUCAUGUUUAGAGUCAUUGUAGAAAUUUAUGUUCAAAUCAAAUGGACAAUGGAACAAGAAAAUGUUGAAGAAACUGUGUGAUUCGAGUCAUGUGUAAGCGGUAAUUCGAAUCAAAUUUGGCAGAGGCUAACAAGAACCAUAUGAUUCGAAUCAGGUUACACUUGAGAUUCGAGUAACAAAUGUAAAAAAAAUCUGAAUUUCUGGAUUUUUUUUUCUGAAAAUUUCGACUAUUUCUUCAAAAAACAAUUCGAAAAAUCAUUGAGUUUUUUUCGAAAUUUUGAAAAAUUCCGGUAUUUUUUCCCGAAAAUUUCAGUAAAACGCAAUAUAAAAUCCCAUAAAAAUUUAGGAAGGACAUAAAAGUAAUAGAACCGCCCAACCGCUAUAUUUUCCCAAUAUUAAGGAAUUUCGUAUCCCAUCCUAUAGGAUGGUAAAACACCAUGUAGAAAACCCAAAAUGCCGCUCAGAUUCGGAGGUGCAUCUCCGGACAUACCACUUUCUUAGUUAAAACGUUACAAUUGAUCCGGAAAUGCAUCUUCGAACAUUUCAAAACACAUUCCAUGCACUCCAUUGAGCCACACUAACAUAUUUUGUAAACACGAAUCUGGAGAUACAUCUCGAAAUUUUUCAAAACACACCUCAUGAUCCUAUUGAAAGAUCCAUUUUAAACAUUUGUUGAUUCUGAAGAUGCAUCUUUGUUAUUGGUUUACGGAGAUGCAUCUUCGUAACCAGUCAAAACAGGCAAGUUAAGUUAGUUUUAUGGUUACUCAAAUGAAAAUGCCGAUUUAUAAAAUGUUAAGGCCCUUGUUAUAUGAUGAGCAUUAAACCAUACAACCGAUAUGCAAAAACUGACAUAUAUAAUCUGGAGUCAAAAUAAGUCACCAUGGCAUACAUAAAAAAUAAAAAUAUACACAAUCUGGAGUCGAAACAUACAUUGAAUCGAAAUACACAAUAAAGGCGAAAUAUACAAGCGUCCAGAGAUGUAUCUCCGUAAUAUUUACGAAGACUCAUCUCAUAGUGUUUUUCACAUUAAGUCAGAUUUCUAUUGAUUUAAAAUGCGUCCGGAGAUGUAUCUCUGAAUCUAAAAACCAUUUUUUAUAUUUUCACGUGGUGCUCUAGUAAUAGUAAUACAUAGAGUGCAUUAAGAAAUUCCCAAUUAUUAUGCCUUUCACUUUCAAAAAGCUCCUCCUUUAGGCCCAACAAAAACCUAAAAAUGUGAUCAUUUUCUUGCCUUUUAAUGAAUAGAACACUAUUUUUCAACACACCUUCAAUUGUCAUCACAACAAAGAUUCAAUUCUUGCCAUGUCAUCAUAUCCUUAUAAUAGGUGGUAAAAUCUUGCAGCCUUGUCCAACAUGUCAUAGCUUUGAUUUUAACCCAAAAAUUUAAGAGCAAUUUUCAAUGUCAGAGUACGUGUCUCUGACGGCUUUAUUGGAAUUUCUUUGUAGAUAGUAAAAACAUGAAGUCUUGGCUAUUAUCGGUUCCAAAGGGUAACUAACAGAUCAAUUUUUAACGAUUUUCAGACUUCCAUUGUCUAAAAUAAGAAUCACCGGUUGGUUUUUCCUUGAUUCCCUUUGGAAAUCUAAACUUUCUCUUGCCUUGUAUUACCAGACGGACAUUUUGGGCACAUUUGGUUACAAGUUUUUCCAUUUAGUCAUGGAACAUUGACCUCAAGAUAGUUUGAGAGUGUCUCGUGGUCAUUAAACCGGUGCUGAGGUUGUUGUUCAUUAAUCAAAGAUAGUCAGACUCGAGAUCCUACGUAAGAUCAGGUUAGGAUAAUUAGAUCGUGAAUCAGAGGAUCAUAACACGAAUAGUAAGGAUCCUACCAAAAUUUAAAAAUUCAUAUAUAUUUUACAUAUAGAUUAAUAAUAUGCAUAUCACACAACAUAAUAUAAAAAUAAAUUCAAAUAACACUAAAAUUACUUUAGAAAAACUGAAAUUUCAUAGGAUUAAUAUUCAUUGAAACUAAUUCAAGACAAUUCAAAACAACACAACAUUUCAAACAGUGAGUAUUUUUUUAAAGUUACACUAUCAUGAUGUAUUUUGGGAACUUAAAUAAAUCCUUAAUUAUUGGGUGACUGAGUAUUGACUACUCCUAGUUAUUAUCAUUUUCCUGUUAUUAGGCAGAAAAUAAUGAUUUUUAAACUUCUUUUUUUUAAGUUUUAUUGAACCAGGUCGCAGACCCGACCAACGAACCCGGAUUCAUUGGGGAUUUAAACAAAAAAUGGUAUUUUUUAACAUAAAUAGCAAUUCUACCAUUUUCACUUGAUAUCACGGAGAUUCUGGUCGUGCCUACCAAAACCGAUUCUUGAUCAUUCUCUGGCACUGUGGGAGUUGCAAGAUCGUAAAAUCGUACGAUCCUACGAGUAGGGAUCGCGAUUUUGACUACCAUGGUCAUAACCACCUUUGAGCGUUGUCAUGGGCAUCUCCAGCACUGGCGUCACCUCCAACACUCGCGCCAAUGUUUCCUCCUUGCAACGCCACCAGUGACACCUUCCUCUGCCGCUGCCGGUACUGUGUCCCACACUAAUUCCGACAACCACAUUUGUCGCCACCUACACCCUCAUGCACCGUCUCCAGUCACCUGUGACGUCAUCACGGGUAUUGUCAUGGGAAAGCAAGUGAGGUUGCCUGCAAGUAUUUGUAUUAGAGUUGCUUUUGUAUAGAGAUUUGUUUUAUUAGGGCUUAUAUUAUGUGUUAUCACUAAGUAUAGUUGUAUUUAGAAUUUGUUAGUGUUGUACAGCUGGCAUAGAAUUUGUUAGUGCCUAGCCUUAUCAAUUUCCUUAUAUAUAUGGAUCCUUGUACUAUGCAUUCUUGAGGAAAUACAAUAACAGAAUUUCUUCUUUUCUCUUGCUUAUCCUUCUAACAUUGGUAUCUUGAGCUUUUUUUCUCUUUUCUGAUCUCAACGCUUCCAUGGCGGCACCGUUCAGCACUAACGGUGUUUCCCUUCAUCUUCAUGGUGAAACUUUCACAUCUCAUUCCGUCAAAUUAGAUGAGAAAAACUUUAAACAGUGGAAACAGCAGACGAAGGCGUGAUUCGUGGUCAUCGUCUUCAAUGGUUCGUUACGUACCGUGCGUUCCACCCGUCUUCUUCUCGGUGUCGUCCAGUCACCGGCGGUCCUAAUUCCUGACUAUUCUUUGAUUGGGAACAGCAGGAUGCGCUUAUUUGCACCUGGUUGCUCUCCACUAUUUCCGACUCUCUUCUCCCGAACUCGUCGACUUGCACCUACUUCAUGGCAAGUUUGGUCGGAGAUUCACCGCUACUUCAAUUACUCUGCUUACCACCAAAGUGCGACAGCUGCGAUCUGAUCUUCGCAAUCUGAGAAAAGGUUUUGUGCUCCAUCACUGACUUCGUUGUUCAUGUUUGUGACAUCAGUGAAGCGUUGGUGUCCAUCGGAGAUCCAGUUCCUCUCCGUAAUCUUAUUAGGUAGUCUUGAUGCUCUUCCUGAGGACUACGAUCUUAUUGUUGUUGCGCGAUCAACAGUAAAAGACGACUUGUGUUUCUCUUGAUGAACUUGAGUCCAAUCUCCUUGCGCACGAAUCGCGACUUUAGAAGAAUCGCAAGGUUGUGAUCACUGAACGAUAUCUGUUAAUAUGGCUCAAGCUCCACCAUCUUCAGUCGUCGCACUCGACUGAACAUUCUGGUUCUAAUUCCACCUCUAAAUUUCCCACUGGUACAGCCUUGUAAAUGCUAAUAUCGACACUCAUGGCACUGGUUCUCGUGGAGGUAGACAUGGUCGCGGUGGUGGUCGUUAUUGGUCGCGGGUGGUGGUCGGUUUUGGAAAGGUUCCUUGUCAGAUUUGCCAUAACCUGGACACGAUGCCUCCGUGUGCUAUCACCGUUACACUUACUUGAGCACCUGCUUAUCAGCUCCACGAGCUCCCUUCAAUCCUUACACACUGGCUCACAUCCUUAUUUCAUCCAUCCUUUGGAUACUCCCACUCCACGGCCAACACCACCCAGGCAGCAGCAACCAAGCUUUUCUAGCAGAUCCGACCCUAGCUUUAACAAUCAGUGGUGGUACCCUGAUUCAGGUGCGUCUCAUCAUGUUACUCCUGAUGCUUCAAAUGUGUCUGAUGCUUCCUCCUUGUCUGGUGCAGAACAGGUGUUUAUGGGAAAUUGGUCAAGGUUUGUCUAUCAAUUCUGUAGGCUCUAUGAAUUUUCCUGUUGUCUAAUUAUUCCAAUUCAUCCCUAAUCCUAAACAAUCUCUUGCUUGUGGCACAUAUCACCAAAAAUCUUAUGAGUGUCAGUAAAUUUGCACAAGACAUCAUGUUUUCUUUGGAGUUUCAUCCUCAAUUUUGUCUUGUUAAAAUCGCAGGAUCUUCUGAAGUUUUUCUUAGUGGCACUGUUGGAGCUGAUGGACUCUACAGAUUUUGUCAAUCCUUCCUCACCUUCCUCCUCUACUCCAUCUCAGUCCAAGUCUCAGUUCAAGUCUUUUAGCUCUAGCCCUAGCUCUUGUAAUAGACUUAGCUUAAAC